GCCGGGGUGGUGGAACUGGUAGACGCGCCGGACUCAAAAUCCGGUGUCUGAAAGGACGUGGGGGUUCAAGUCCCCCCCCCGGCACCA
RNAcentral lists this transfer RNA (87 nucleotides) under Gallionella sp. RNAcentral describes it as "tRNA-Leu". It matches the Rfam family "tRNA". From Rfam's summary of the family: Transfer RNA (tRNA) molecules are approximately 80 nucleotides in length. Their secondary structure includes four short double-helical elements and three loops (D, anti-codon, and T loops). Further hydrogen bonds mediate the characteristic L-shaped molecular structure. tRNAs have two regions of fundamental functional importance: the anti-codon, which is responsible for specific mRNA codon recognition, and the 3' end, to which the tRNAs corresponding amino acid is attached (by aminoacyl-tRNA synthetases). tRNAs cope with the degeneracy of the genetic code in two manners: having more than one tRNA (with a specific anti-codon) for a particular amino acid; and 'wobble' base-pairing, i.e. permitting non-standard base-pairing at the 3rd anti-codon position. The record is from RNAcentral. Lineage: Bacteria; Pseudomonadati; Pseudomonadota; Betaproteobacteria; Nitrosomonadales; Gallionellaceae.